GACGAACGCUGGCGGCGUGCUUAACACAUGCAAGUCGAACGGAAAGGCCCUGCUUUUGUGGGGUGCUCGAGUGGCGAACGGGUGAGUAACACGUGAGUAACCUGCCCUUGACUUUGGAUUACUUCAAGAAACUUGGGCUAAUACCGGAUAGGAGCUCCUGCUGCCUGGUGGGGGUUGGGAAGUUUCGGCGGUUGGGGAUGGACUCGCGGCUUAUCAGCUUGUUGGUGGGGUAGUGGCUUACCAAGGCUUUGACGGGUAGCCGGCCUGAGAGGGUGACCGGCCACAUUGGGACUGAGAUACGGCCCAGACUCCUACGGGAGGCAGCAGUGGGGAAUAUUGCACAAUGGGCGGAAGCCUGAUGCAGCAACGCCGCGUGCGGGAUGACGGCCUUCGGGUUGUAAACCGCUUUCGCCUGUGACGAAGCGUGAGUGACGGUAAUGGGUAAAGAAGCACCGGCUAACUACGUG
RNAcentral lists this ribosomal RNA (467 nucleotides) under uncultured bacterium. RNAcentral's name for it is "partial 16S ribosomal RNA". It matches the Rfam family "Bacterial small subunit ribosomal RNA", at positions 28 to 507 of the family's 1533-position model. The record is from RNAcentral.